Molecule: unclassified non-coding RNA, 307 nt
Filed under: Hevea brasiliensis (rubber tree)
Lineage: Eukaryota; Viridiplantae; Streptophyta; Magnoliopsida; Malpighiales; Euphorbiaceae
Source: RNAcentral
GCUAUAAGCAAGCACCUUGAUGUAGAGGAAUUGGAAAUGCUAUUAGAGGCAUACUUUGUACAAAUUGAUGGUACACUGAACAAACUGUCUACACUGAGGGAGUACGUUGAUGAUACAGAGGACUACAUCAAUAUAAUGCUGGAUGACAAGCAGAAUCACCUCCUGCAAAUGGGCGUCAUGUUAACAACAGCAACUCUAGUGAUNNNNNUGUUGUCGUUGCUGGUAUUUUUGGCAUGAAUAUCCGCAUUGAAUUGUUCAAGGAGGAGACGGAAAUAGGGAUGCAAAAAUUUCUAUGGACUGUUGGGGG